RNAcentral lists this ribosomal RNA (253 nucleotides) under uncultured bacterium. RNAcentral's name for it is "partial 16S ribosomal RNA". It matches the Rfam family "Bacterial small subunit ribosomal RNA", at positions 524 to 776 of the family's 1533-position model. The record is from RNAcentral.
UACGUAGGGUCCGAGCGUUGUCCGGAAUCAUUGGGCGUAAAGCGCGUGUAGGCGGUCCGGUAAGUCCGCUGUGAAAGUCGGGGGCUCAACCCUCGAAUGCCGGUGGAUACUGUCGGGCUAGAGUGCGGAAGAGGCGAGUGGAAUUCCUGGUGUAGCGGUGAAAUGCGCAGAUAUCAGGAGGAACACCAAUUGCGAAGGCAGCUCGCUGGGACGUUACUGACGCUGAGACGCGAAAGCGUGGGGAGCAAACAGG